GAACCUGCGGAAGGAUCAUUACUGGGAGAGGGGCCUCGUGCUCCCGGGGGUUUCGGCCCCCAACUCUUCACCCAUUGUCUACCUACCUUUGUUGCUUUGGCGGGCCAUGGGGCACGUCCCGCGCCGGCUUUCGUGCAGGCGAGCGCCCGUCAGAGGCUUAUCAAACUCUAUUAAUUAGUGAUGUCCGAGCCAAAAAUACAAUAGUAAAAACUUUCAACAACGGAUCUCUUGGUUCCAGCAUCGAUGAAGAACGCAGCGAAAUGCGAUAACUAAUGUAAUUGCAGAAUUCAGUGAAUCAUCGAGUCUUUGAACGCACAUUGCGCCCCUCGGUAUUCCGGGGGGCAUGCCUGUUCGAGCGUCAUUACACCCUUCAAGCCUAGCUUGGUAUUGGGCCCUCGCCCCCGUGGCGUGCCCGAAAAUCAGUGGCGGUCCGUUGCGACUUUAAGCGUAGUAAAUUUUCAUCCCGCUUUGAAAGUUAGCGCCGUGACCGGCCAGACAACCCCAUAUAUUUUAUAAUUGACCUCGGAUCAGGUAGGGAUACCCGCUGAACUUAAGC
Molecule: ribosomal RNA, 556 nt
Filed under: Esslingeriana idahoensis
Lineage: Eukaryota; Fungi; Ascomycota; Lecanoromycetes; Lecanorales; Parmeliaceae
Description: eukaryotic LSU rRNA
Rfam family: 5.8S ribosomal RNA (bases 209-361)
Source: RNAcentral